UAAAAAAAAAAAAAAGAGUACCCAGAAACAAGGACACGGGAGACUCUAAUCACUCUCCUAAUUUCCCUCUCUUAACCCUAAUCUUUUUUUCUUCAAGUUUAUUACAGUGUUGUGUUUGUGUUUGUUUUUGUCUGUGUUUGUUUUAGUUUGUGUUUGUGUUAAACAGUGUCUCACUCACUCUCACUCUCUUCUUGUCUAUGUUUCUGUUUGUUUCUUGAGAAACCAAAACAUAGAGGAACAAGAAAAAAAAAACCAUGGAUACUUAUGAAGCAACCAACAUACUUAUGUCCAAGAUCAAGACCAUAGACCCAGAAAACGUCUCAAAAAUCAUGGGUUACAUUCUCAUACAAGACCUAAACGAGAAUGAUUUAUGUUCUCUAGCUUUUGGUUCAGAAGCCCUUUUACAUAGCGUGAUUAUUAAAGCCAAAGCUCACUUAGGACUUUCAUCGAACACCUUAUCUGCACCGCCUUCUCCUUUAAAUCCCAUCUCAAGACCCGGGCUUUCUCACAACCCGUUUUCAACUCAGUCUUCUGUGCCAUCCCCUCGAGUUGGGGGCUCUCCUUUUGUACAUUCAUGGCCUGGUCCUGGUUUGGGUAGUAAUGGGGUUAGUUCAAUUAGUUCAGUUAGUUCAAUUAGUCCAAAGUCUAGUCCUUUUUUGUCUUAUGAUAAUAUAAGGUCUGGGUCUGCUUUAGUAUCUAACUCUGCGAAUGAUAAUGGGAGUGUUGAUGUUAGUCGAAACCGUGGUGAUUUGCUUAAUGAGUAUCAGUUGGAUGAGUAUUUUUCUUUUCUUGACGACUUGCCUUCGAAAGGUGAGGACUUUGGUGAUCCUAGGGCUCAAUUGGGUGGUUUUGGGGGGAGUAAUGUGGAUGCUCAUCUUCAUAGGAGGAGAUUUUCGGAGAGUGAUGCUUAUUUUAGUGGGGAAGAUGGCGGUUUUGAACUUGGGCAUAGGCCUUGUUUGUAUUAUGCUAGAGGGUUUUGUAAAAAUGGUGAGAAUUGUAAGUUUGAACAUGGGGGGUUUGGUGGCGGUGGUGAUGGAUUUGGUGAGAUUAAUGGGAGUGGUGGUGUUCUUGUGGGUUCUCCUAGGGAAAUGGAGGGGAUUUAUAUGCGGCAACAGGAGGAUUUAAUGAGGAUGAAGGCUGUACAACAGCAGCGUAGAUUGGCUUGCGGCAAGUAUAUGAACUUUCUUUUGCAACAUGAUAGUGACCCUCAGAGAAUUGGGGCAGCCUCAGCAAUGAUGGGUGAUGAAUUUCACAAGUUUGGCCAGUUCCGUCCUGAAAGGAAUGAUUUUUUGGCGAUGGCAAUGGAAGACAAGGCAACCUCAGCUUCUCGGCAGAUCUACUUGACAUUCCCAGCUGACAGCACUUUCAAAGACGAAGACGUGUCAAAUUAUUUUAGUACUUUUGGACCAGUUCAAGAUGUCAGAAUUCCAUACCAGCAGAAGCGGAUGUUUGGGUUUGUGACGUUUGUUCACUCAGAUACUGUGAAGCAUAUUUUGUCAAGAGGCAAUCCUCAUUUUAUAUGUGAUUCUCGUGUGCUUGUUAAGCCAUACAAGGAAAAAGGAAAAGUCGCAAACAACAGUAGGAGGCAACAACAUCUGCAGCACCAGCUGAUGGAUAGGGGUAAUUUUUCACCCUGUUCUAGCCCUUCUGGCAUUGAUCCUAGAGAGCUAUAUGAUCUGAACUUUGGAGCUAGAAUGCUCUACAAUUCACAGGAGAUGGUUAGGAGAAAGUUUGAGCAGCAGGCUGAGCUGCAGCAAGCAAUUGAACUCCAAGGGAGAAGGUUGAUUAAUUUGCAGCUGCCAGACUUGAGAGGAGACUUUGUUCACCAUCACCAGCGUAGUUUAUCUGCUGGUGCACCAAUGCUGGCUCGUGCUGCUGCUGAUCUCAAUAUGAGUCUCUCUUCCGAUGUCAAUAAUCAGGAUGUUUUAGAAGUUGCCACUGACAAGGAAGACAGCCCUUCCACCAACAUGGUGUCUAGUAUCGCUGUUGCUCAAUGGAACCAUCAGCGUGAAGGAUAUUCUAUUCAGUGUAAAGAUACAGUCAAUGGCAAGUUGGAGGCCAGCAGUCCAGAAGGAUGUGAGGCCAAUGAACGCGCUGGAGGCAUCGCAGAGCAUGCUCUUCCUGAAAGCCCUUUUGCUUCUCCUACAAAAUCAUUAGGAAAUCUAGGCAGCUUCCAUCCAUGUUUGGUUGAAGCUAAAAAAGGUACCGACGUCACUAACGCUUCAUCUUCUGAAAUCACUGCAUCAGUGCAUACAACUUCGUCUGAUGACUCGCCGCCUCCUAAAUAGUGUUUAAAAUGUGCAGCUAGUCUUAUGUAGGUAAUAAAAAAGUUAGUUUGGCUAAGCAGAUCGAAGUUGCUAGGAAAAGUAGAGCACAUACGAGGAAGCUUCUGUAGAUGUAUAGCGAAAAUAUACAUGCACCAAAGGGUAGAUGUGUAGAAAAUAUGUGAACAAGAUUGCCACCGCCGUCAUCAAUACGAUACUAGUAACAGCAAAAGCACAUUACAUACAUAGUAGACAGAUGAACUAAUUUGAGUAGGGAUUCUCUCCUUUUUUACUGUUUUUACCUUUUGCUCUUUUGUAGGGGUGUGUGCUGGACCACAAACUGAAUUAGAACUAAAGAAAAUGACUCUUAUUACAAUGUGAAGUAUACAUCUUUGCAAUAUUUUACCA
Molecule: RNA transcript, 2672 nt
Organism: Mercurialis annua (annual mercury)
Lineage: Eukaryota; Viridiplantae; Streptophyta; Magnoliopsida; Malpighiales; Euphorbiaceae
Gene name: zinc finger CCCH domain-containing protein 55-like
Exons: 9
Source: RefSeq, a predicted model, not a curated record